Molecule: ribosomal RNA, 786 nt
Filed under: Podosphaera xanthii
Lineage: Eukaryota; Fungi; Ascomycota; Leotiomycetes; Helotiales; Erysiphaceae
Description: eukaryotic LSU rRNA
Rfam family: Eukaryotic large subunit ribosomal RNA
Source: RNAcentral
AUCUGGCUCCUCGGGGCCCGAAUUGUAAUUUGUAGAAGAUGCUUUGGGUCUGGGCCUGGCCUAAGUUCCUUGGAACAGGACGUCGUAGAGGGUGAGAAUCCCGUAUGCGGCUGGCGCCCGUGCCCGUGUAAAGCUCUUUCAACGAGUCGAGUUGUUUGGGAAUGCAGCUCUAAAUGGGUGGUAAAUUUCAUCUAAAGCUAAAUAUUGGCCAGAGACCGAUAGCGCACAAGUAGAGUGAUCGAAAGAUGAAAAGCACUUUGGAAAGAGAGUUAAACAGUACGUGAAAUUGUUGAAAGGGAAGCGCUGGCAACCAGACUUGGGCGCUGUUGAUCCGCUAGGGUUCUCUCUAGGGCACUCGGCAGUGCGCAGGCCAGCAUCGGUUUGGGGGGUUGGAGAAUGGCUGGUGGAAUGUGGCUGUCUUCGGGCAGUGUUAUAGCCACCGGUGGCAUGCAGCCUCCCCGGACCGAGGACCGCGCUUCGGCUAGGAUGCUGGCGUAAUGGUUGUCAGCGACCCGUCUUGAAACACGGACCAAGGAGUCUAACAUCUAUGCGAGUGUUUGGGUGUUAAACCCAUACGCGGAAUGAAAGUGAACGUAGGUGAGAACCCGCAAGGGUGCAUCAUCGACCGAUCCUGAUGUCUUCGGAUGGAUUUGAGUAAGAGCAUAGCUGUUGGGACCCGAAAGAUGGUGAACUAUGCCUGAAUAGGGUGAAGCCAGAGGAAACUCUGGUGGAGGCUCGCAGCGGUUCUGACGUGCAAAUCGAUCGUCAAAUUUGGGUAUAGGGGCG